AGUGAACGCUGGCGGUAGGCCUAACACAUGCAAGUCGAACGGCAGCACCGUAAGAGCUUGCUCUUACGGGUGGCGAGUGGCGGCCGGGCGAGGAAUACAUCGGAAUCUACAUUUUCGGGGGGGCAAACGUAGGAAAACUUACGCUAAUCCCGCAUACGACCUUCGUGUGUAAGCAGGGGAUCUUCCGACCUUGCGCGAUUGCAUGAGCCGAUGUCGUAUUAGCUAGUCGGCGGGGUAACGGCCCACCAAGGCGACGCUCCGUAGCUGGUCUGAGAGGAUGACCAGCCAGACUGGAAGUGAGACACGGGCCGGACUGCUACGUGAGGCAGCAGUCGGGAAUGUGGGACAACAGUCGCAAGCCUGAUCCAGACAGACCGCGUGAGGGUAGAAGGCCUGCGGGUUGUAAAGCCCUUUUGUUGGGAAAGAAAAGCAGCAGGUUAAUAUCCAGAUGUUCUGACGGUACCCAAAGAAGAAGCACCGGGUAACUUCGUG
Molecule: ribosomal RNA, 492 nt
Filed under: uncultured bacterium
Lineage: Bacteria
Description: partial 16S ribosomal RNA
Rfam family: Bacterial small subunit ribosomal RNA
Source: RNAcentral